GUUUCCUACGGGACGCAGCAGUGAGGAAUAUUGGUCAAUGGGCGCGAGCCUGAACCAGCCAAGUCGCGUGAGGGAUGACGGUCCUACGGGUUGUAAACCUCUUUUGUCGGGGAGCAAAUUCCGCCACGUGUGGCGGAGUCGAGAGUAUCCGAAGAAAAAGCAUCGGCUAACUCCGUGCUAGCAGCUGCGGUAAUACGGAGGAUGCGAGCGUUAUCCGGAUUUAUUGGGUUUAAAGGGUGCGUAGGCGGACUGUCAAGUCAGCGGUAAAAUACGGGGGCUCAACCUCCGCCCGCCGUUGAAACUGA
This 305-nucleotide ribosomal RNA is filed under the name uncultured bacterium. Its description in RNAcentral is "bacterial SSU rRNA". It matches the Rfam family "Bacterial small subunit ribosomal RNA", at positions 334 to 636 of the family's 1533-position model. The record is from RNAcentral.